RNAcentral lists this long non-coding RNA (863 nucleotides) under Lepidothrix coronata (blue-crowned manakin). RNAcentral describes it as "lncRNA (ENSLCOG00000011345.1)". Lineage: Eukaryota; Metazoa; Chordata; Aves; Passeriformes; Pipridae. The record is from RNAcentral.
CAGCCCCCCGGCUUUAAGGAAGAUGCCAGCCCUGGUGACCUGUUGUUUGGAGGGGAUCCUGUCAACCUGAGAGUGGGCUCAGUCUCCACCGACUUCCACCUCAUGAAAGUGAGAGUGAUGACUGAGAAGAAGAGGGUGAGGAAGGCUCACAGCAAGCUGAUCCAGAAGAGAAGCCCUACUGAGAUCUCCCACCAAGGGUUAGACUGUGAGGAGGAGGAAGAGGAGGGGAGCACCAAGAAUCACCCUCUCCCUGUCAGCGUAGAUUCAAGUGAGCAUGAAGGGAACAAAAAUAACACCCCCCCAGGCAGGAAAGUGGAAGCACCUUCUUUGUGCCUUCAAGAUACAGGUAGAAAGAAGAAGGCAGGAAUAAAAGAGACAGGCACAAUGCCUUGCCCAAGGGCAUCCCAGCAGAUAAACCUCCUGAACCUUGCCUUUAGCCAGGAAGAGGUAACAGGACCUGAGAAGAAAAGGAAGGUCAGUGAACCAGAGAAGCUGCCUCUGAACAGCAGGAAAUUAUGUUCAUUCUGACACAGAAUACAUUUUGGAAGGUGUGAGUUUGCACUGUCAUCUGACUGGUGCAGACCUUUCCUUCUCCCAGUGUUUAACCCUUCCACGUGCCCUGUGUAUUUGUGAAUGUUUGUCUCAUGAAAACUCUGGAUUGCAGAGAGACAACAAGCCCCAUAAUUGUCAUGACAUUGUCAACAACCAGCCCUUGUUUGAUGUUCUAACGUUGAGGAUUUAUAAUUCUGUACCAGUGGUGUCUGUGUGCUUCUUUCUGCCUCCUUCCCUCACACCUCCCACCUCUCACUGGCUAAAUUCCCUCCUCUGGGGCUGGUGUGUCCUGUGCCACUCUGUCACCCAUG